This is a non-coding RNA of Labrus bergylta (ballan wrasse), 1738 nucleotides long. The record is from RefSeq and is a predicted model, not a curated record. NCBI's taxonomy places the organism in Eukaryota, Metazoa, Chordata, Actinopteri, Labriformes, Labridae.
CGUCCAGCCAAACUGAGCAAUCGUGGGAGGUGUCAUCAUCAGCCAAUCCAGGACCUCUGAGAGAUUCUCUGAAGGAAUUAAAUAAACAGAUGUCCUUCAGCAGUGACACACCAUUGGUGAUGAUGAAGCUGGCACGGCUCAUCUUGGUGGAGGAGUGGAUCAGAGCCUCCACAGCAACCAUCUGGUCCACCUCCCGUUCAGAGGCACAUAACGCCACCAUCAUCUCCAUUAUACCCUGAUGUCCAACCAGAGCAUUGCCCACGUCAAAGGGACCCUGAAGCAGGCCCGAGAUGGUAUUGAUUGCAUGAAUGGUGUUGUCCAUAUUAUUGGGGUCAAUCUUGGAUCUAAAGAAAGGAGAGCAAUGAAAGGAAAAAGAAAAAAACAUGGGUUAUGUUGGCUAGGUCAUCAUUUAGAGACAUUUAAACCAUGCUCAAGAGUGGAUUUUCGUGUGUGUACUUUAUAUAUCCAUCACAGAUGUCCCUGAAGUUGUUUCUCUCUGGGUCACAUUUGAGGUCGUCAUAGAUCUUGGUGAGGAGCACGCUAGCAAUCAGCUGUGUGUUGUCUGUUAAGGGCAGCUGGUCUGGCAGUUCAGGAAUCUGACCACAUACCUUGAGGAUCUUCUUCAGACCUGGAGAACAAUCAAACAUAGGCAUAUGUAGAAAUCUCAUGUCAGGGAGUCUGGGAUGCAGCAUUGGACAGCAACUCCAGUAAAAUAAGAGACCUGUGGCUGUCUGCCUCACCGUUGUCAAUAGUGAAUAGGGUCCUGGAGUGGUCUACCUCUUUUUUGUUUUUGCGAGGUACAUUUUUGCUCAGGAGGUUCAGCGCCUGGUCUCUGCCAUGGCCAGACACCUUCUUACUGGCAACCAUCUCCAGCAGAGAUAGGAGAAUAGUUUUCAGGUCUUUCGAUGCAUCUGCAGAAGGAAAAUGAUAUGAAGAUUGUUUGUCCCUGUCAGGAGUGCUGUGGAAAAGUACAGCCAGAGCAUUUCUGUUUUCCUUUCUGUUACAGGUUGAUUGUUUCUCACCCAAAACCAAGGCCUCUUCUUUUCCAUAAUCCCUUUUAUCUCCACCAGUGAGGGAGUCAUUGAUGCACUGGAAUAGGUUGCAGGUUGCAAGUGCAAUCUCCUCAUUGUCAACAGCCAUGAUGCUGCACAUUUUAUCAACACCCACCAUGUUAACAAUGGCCAUGGCCUGUUAGGGGGGCGAGAGAAAAUAAAUGUUUGACUUAGUACAUUUGUGAUAAAACUUUUUUUUUUUUUUUUUUUACAAAUAUCAUUAAACCUUACUUCUAAUGGCAUCAUAUAGGUGAAGGUCGUACUUGUAGUAUAAAUAAGUAAAAGUAUACUCACCCGAGCUUUGUGUCCUGUGCACAUGCCUGACAGUGUGCGAACAGCAGCCAGGACCAUCUCUGAUUUUCCUGUCUCUAUCAUGGUGAGCAGCAGAGACACUCCGUUAUUCUGGAAGAUUCUUUCUGCUCCUGCAUCCUCUCUGGACAGCACAAUCAGGUUGUUUGCAGCCUAAAGGGAAAGGGACAGGAUGCAGAAGUGAAGACCAGAUAAACAAACAAAAACUUCAUAUACUUAAUGCAACAGUGUAUCUGCUUCAUGCCAGAGAAUUUACCCACUUUUUCCUUCUUAUCCUUGUCCAUUUCUUCAUCAAAGAGAAUGUCAAACAUGUUCUGAACCCUUGAAUCGGUGGAAAAUGUUGUCUUAAGCUGUGGAAAAUAAAAAUGAAACUAUUA